AUUGAACGCUGGCGGCAGGCUUAACACAUGCAAGUCGAGCGGGGGAAGGUAGCUUGCUACCGGACCUAGCGGCGGACGGGUGAGUAAUGCUUAGGAAUCUGCCUAUUAGUGGGGGACAACAUCUCGAAAGGGAUGCUAAUACCGCAUACGUCCUACGGGAGAAAGCAGGGGAUCUUCGGACCUUGCGCUAAUAGAUGAGCCUAAGUCGGAUUAGCUAGUUGGUGGGGUAAAGGCCGACCAAGGCGACGAUCUGUAGAGGGUCUGAGAGGAUGAGCGGCCAAACUGGGACUGAGACAAGGACCAGACUCCUACGGGAGGCAGCAGUGGGGAAUAUUGGACAAUGGGGGGAGCCCUGAUCCAGCCAUGACGCGUGUGUGAAGAAGGCCUUAUGGUUGUAAAGCACUUUAAGCGAGGAGGAGGCUACUUUAGUUAAUACCUAGAGAUAGUGGACGUUACUCGCAGAAUAAGCACCGGCUAACUCUGUGCCAGCCGCCGCCGUAA
This 501-nucleotide ribosomal RNA is filed under the name uncultured bacterium. RNAcentral's name for it is "partial 16S ribosomal RNA". It matches the Rfam family "Bacterial small subunit ribosomal RNA", at positions 30 to 523 of the family's 1533-position model. The record is from RNAcentral.